GUAGUCUGCAACCCGACUACAUGAAGCUGGAAUCGCUAGUAAUCGCGGAUCAGAAUGCCGCGGUGAAUACGUUCCCGGGUCUUGUACACACCGCCCGUCACACCAUGGGAGUCGGAAAUGCCCGAAGUCUGUGACCCAACCUACGGGAGGGAGCAGCCGAAGGCAGGUCGGAUGACUGGGGUGAAGUCGUAACAAGGUAUC
RNAcentral lists this ribosomal RNA (201 nucleotides) under uncultured bacterium. Its description in RNAcentral is "partial 16S ribosomal RNA". It matches the Rfam family "Bacterial small subunit ribosomal RNA", at positions 1300 to 1500 of the family's 1533-position model. The record is from RNAcentral.